Camelus dromedarius (Arabian camel) is the source of this 9066-nucleotide long non-coding RNA. RefSeq lists it as uncharacterized. The transcript is spliced from 4 exons. The record is from RefSeq and is a predicted model, not a curated record. Lineage: Eukaryota; Metazoa; Chordata; Mammalia; Artiodactyla; Camelidae.
UUUCCUGCCAGCUGCUACUGGGUUUUUAGUCAGCGCCGAUAGCUCUGGUAACUGGGAAAGGACCGGGCUGCGUGAUUCACCGGCUCUCCCCCGGCGCGCGGAGGGACGGCACCUCCCCUGUCCCCCGGGCCUCCCCCGUGAGCCCCUGUGACUGAGACACAGAAAGCGCCCGCACGCUCAUCGCCGCCCGAAGGCUGAUGGUGUCUGUGUGCGUGGAUGCGUGCGCGGCCUGGGCGUGUGUGCUGGCAGGGGCUUUUUUCUGAAUGCACCAGCGCCGAGGGAGAUGGGCCCCUGUUUUGAGAAGUCAGAACGUAACUCUAAGCUGAGCGUUGCCCCUCUCACGGGGAGCCCCGGGCUCUCUCUGAGGUGUAACCACAGUGAGCUUGCCGUGGUCCGGAUGAGGACAUGGUAGUCACAUUGAAAAUUUUAUUUCCUGGCGUUUCGGAAGAUGCAGAGGAAAAUCCCCCACUGUAGCAAAGGACUCUUUCAAAUAGAAAACUGAGAAUGUGUCCCUUCAUUUUUUUUUUCCUUUAUGCUGUGGGCCAGAGUUUUGAAUUUGUCCACGAUGUUGGUGAGCAUUUGGCUAAGUGUCUUUCAUCAGCUCGAGUGUCACUUCUGAAGCACAGACUCGAGUUUAGAGAGCAGCCUCUCUGCAGAGUGAGGCCGGGACGGGCAGCACCCAGGAGCCUGCGAGAUGUGCAGAACUUCUGGCCCCUCCCGGCCUGCUGAGCCAACUUUCUGGACGGGGGUCCCAGCUGUCAGUCUGGGUUUUAGCUGGCUCUCCAGGAGGUCUUGUCUCACCACCAAGGGUAAGAAGUCACAGACCUUGCUGGGAGAUUUCAUGGAUGUUCUUGACAGAUCCGGGUUGAGACGAAGGCACACGGUGCUCCAGCGCAGGAUGGAAUGAUUUACUCCACGUGUAUUUACUGCCCACCCCGUGGUACCAGGCUCUGUGCUGGACACAGCAAGGGACCACCUGGCACCCAGAGCCCAAAUCCUUGUCUUCAGGGGUCCCAGUCUGGAGGAAGCAGAGGAAGUCAGCAACAAGGAUGCCGUCUAAUCUGGAGGAGCUCCCUAGACAGAUAUGGGUGGGGUGCCCGCGGGGGUGCUGGCGGGAACGGUCGGGGACACCUGUACUAUUUCAUCAGGGUGGGAAUUAGACGUAUGGGAGAGAGAAAGUUGGGUGAUAGCCUCAGAUGGUUUGGGGUUUAUCCCAGCUCUGAGGCUGUGUAGUGUAGCAGGCUCAGACAAGUCCUCUCAACCUCAGCUUUCUCAUCUGUGUAAUGGGCUGAAUGAUAUUUCCUUUCUGAUUGUGUUGAAACUCAAGUGAGUUAAUGCUUGCCAAGUGCUUAGCACAGGCCUCACUCAUCUUCAUGAAGAUGAUGGCAUCUGAGGGCAGUGGGGAGCCACUGAGGUUUUUUGGCCGUAGGUGACACGAACAGAACACUGUAAUCACUCCUAGAAAUGCCUUGUCCAUUUAGGCCAGUAGAGGCUCUUUGUUGAGCAUAAGACACAAGGACCGAUAAUAUUUCAGGCUGUAAUCAAGUUUAAAAUGUGUCUGAGAAAAUAUGUUAAAUCCUCAAAAGCUCUCCCCUUCCUCCAUCAUCAUAUUUUUGGAUCCUAAAAUCAGCCAAAUGCAGAAUCUGUCCACUUUCCAAAGCAACGUGCCUUUGGACUGAGAACAAAAUUGCAGAACAACAGUUGAUUUUUUUCCCUCUCAAACAGUCCCAAGGCCCAGAAUACAAGGAGACCUUGACUUCCGAAGCUCGUGCUUCUCGCGGCAGCUGACCAACCCGCUGCCCUCGGACAGGAUGAGUUCUGGAGGUUCCCAGCCAGUGGCCUGCUUUCUUCACACCCUGGCAGGGGUGGCUCCGGGCCAUGCCCAGGAGACAGCUGACCAGGGUUGGUUCUUCUCAAAGACGGGAAAACCUGGGGAGAGAGGGGAGGAGUGGGUCAUGGGGAUGUAAGCCCCGGAGCCACCACUGUCCCUGGGGUGUUCUGGAGGAGCUCUCCAGAAUCCCUCCCAUCUCAAGGCAGCCGCUACACAGAUGUGAUUCAUCCGUCCUACCCAUGACCGCCAGGCACUCCACACACGUCUGUCUUCAGAGUGCCUCUCUGGCGGGAGAGCAGGCGUUUGACAGAUGUCGCAUGAUGAGACAGGAGAUGAGGGCGGGCUGGAGUAAACCAAGGUCCUCACCGUGGCUCUGCUGAGCCAGGCAAAGCCAGCCUCAGCUCCCCGGGAAGCUUCCUCUCUGGCCUUAGGCUCUUCUUCCUGAGCAAUCUCUACCUGCUGGCCUCGGAAGGAGGGGGACAGCGUUUCGGGUGGGGCACCUCGAAGCACCCCGACGCCCACAUUUGGAGGCGACGCGGGCAGGCCAGGUGCAUUGCAGGAAAACGCGUGCGGCAGCUGCACCCACAUCAGAGGCGUGCGGCCCCGUGUGGGAGUCCAGGGGGCGUAGGGUGCUAUUCCCGGCGCGGGCGCUGCCUUACUGUGAUACGAAGCCUCCCUCUAUCUCGGUUUCCCCAUCUCUAAAGUGGGGCAAGAUCUAACUUUUCUGGUUCCACAAAAGCUCACAGGCAAACCACUUGGCUGGUCAGGAACCUGGCCUCCCUGCUGGGCCCUGGGAACCAGACCUUCCCGAUUCCUCCCUGAGAAUCUAUCUGGCGCUGCCUCCACUCAGGUUCUAAGAGGAGGUGAUCCCAUUAGAAGGAGCGCUCCUGGUUUCCAGGUAAAUCAUCCCUGUGGCUCUCACAGCUCCAGCCGGCCUCUGCACCACCUCCCAAGUGCCCUUUCUGACCCACAGUUGGUUUCUGCCACUGUCCUGUUUAACUCCCACUAAGACCUCUGUGCAGAAACAUUCAAGGCUCCUGUUACCCUCCUGCCCGCCCUCCCUGAUUUUCUGAUGUAGACCUGCCAGCUGCACACGACAGCUCCCAGUUCCUCAGUCAAGCCAGGUCCUUUUCAAGUCCCAGUGACUCUGCCAAUGCUGUUUCCUCUCUGCGCGCCCUUUCCCUUGGAUCAGCUCAGCAAACUCCUCUUCAUCCGUCAGAACCCAGCUUCGUGAUCGUCCCCACCGGGAAGCCUUCCCUGACCCUGUAUUCUGUCAUCCUGAGGCUCAGAAUCAGGGGGUGGGGCGCUCCGAGGCUCACUCCUGUCCACCCCUCCCAGACAGGCUGGCUGGAGUGCUUCCGGCUUUAGGAGAGCAGGAGCGAAUUGAACCUGCCUUGUCCCGCUUUGCUGGCAGACUCCUACCCCUCAAAAGAAAGUCUGGAAUUCCUGUUCCAGGAAAUCCCUGGGUCAGGAAGGUGGGAAGCAGGGAGGGACAGCUGUCAGGAGGCAGAAGACAGGUGGAGAUGCCUAUUCUGGUUUCAGUCAGAUUGGAGCUGGGUGAGAAGGACCGCUGGGAAGUGGUCAGCAAAAACCAGUCUGAAUGUGGUCCAAGGGCCCCGGGCUGUGUGUGAUCACCUGGUGCUGAUGCCCAGGGUUGUUCUCGGGAAGGUGGGGAGGGUGCUGGGGAGGGGCCGGCGCUCCCUGACAUUUCAGCACAAGUCUGCCCCAGCAGCAAGCAUAAGGAAGGGCCCGAAGGUGAUCUGAUGCCAAGGAUCCUUCUGUCUGGGCUGAGCUGUGCCUUCAGGAAGGCAAGGAGGCCGUGAGAAAGGGGAGGCCCAGCUGAACAGGAGAUAAAGCCAGGGAGGGGAGGGGCCGGCAGCCCAUCCUAUUCCUGUCCCAGGCUGACAGCUUGUGACAUUCAGAUAGCUCCCUAGGUCUGGUUUUUCCUGUUCCUGAAGUUGCUGCAGCAGGACACACGGCUCGGGCAGGAGUGGCCAUUGGUGAGCGUCGCCGGGGUGUGUGUGUGUGUGUGUGUGUGUGUGUGUGUGUGUGUGUGUGUGUGUGUAUGUGCGCGCGAGUUAUGUCUCAGUUUAAAGAAACAGGAAAUUCAGGAUUUGUAUCAGCACCACAUCCCAGGCUCCUUGUUUCCUAGAAAGGAAGGGCAGAUAACACGGAGCCUGGGCCCCCACUGAGGCUGGGGCUGGGCCGAAGGAAGGGGCUUCGGGGUUGGCCUGGCCUUGGCCUGCGGCAGCAGCUGGCUCCUGGGUGCCUGCUUUCUUCUCUGCUAGAAAAGGACCUGCUGGAAAAAGCCUGGACGAAGUCGGGUGGGGAACAGGCUUGGCUCGAGAAAGUUCUGGACUCUUGAGUCUUGUCAGGUCUCCAGUCCUGGUUGCCUCCGUCCUGGGCAAUCAGCGAGAGUGACAGGAAGGGUAACUCUGGAGCAGAGGGAGGUUACGGAGGGUGAGAGGGGCCAGGGCAGCUGUGGAGGGUCCUGGGCCCCUGAGCUGGAGCCUCAGGUUCCAGAGUUAAGGCAGUGAGAGCUGGGGGGUGAGUUGGGGGAGCUGUUUCCUUCACAGCCUGGAAGCUGAGGCCCCGGAUGCUGAGUGACUGGUCCAGCGUCCUGUGGUACUCAGCUGCUUGAUGUCACCAGCCUCCCCUCGCAGCGACCUUCCAUUAGAUGGUCCAGACAUCCCGACUCUGAGUCUCCGAAUGCCAGGCCGGGCACUUGAGUGGGCUGGCGCCCCGCCCAUCCCCCGGGCCGCCCCUCAGUGCAGGGCCUGGGGCCGCUUUGGGCUGGGGCAUCAGGGCUGCAAGCACACGGGGGCCGGCUGCUCGGGCCCUGACGCAGGGCACAGACCCCGCGGUGCCUCCAGGCAACAUGGUCUGACUUCCUGGGCUUGGGGGCCGGUCUUGGAGCUGGGGCUCCUUUGAUACAUCUCUGUCUCUAUCUGCUGCUCUUAUUCUGCUCAAAAGAGCAGUGACUUGAGCGUCUGGCUUGGAGGCAGCUCUCCCCCACGGGGAGGGAAAGGGCCCUGAGUGGCUGCUUGGGUCCUGAGUCCCGGCUGCUGGGCCCAGGCCUCUCCCUGGUGUGGGCUCCCUGGAACUGAACCCCAGAACUCAGACCUCAGGUCUCCCCCCAGGCCCUCCCUCCCUCCCUCCAGGGGCUCUUGGAUCUCUGACCCCCUGACCUCGGUGCUCUCUGGCUCCUGGUGGUGGGUGAGCACCACUGGGAGAGGGGCUGGGGCAGAGCCUGGAGGCCAGAACAGCUCACGCUGCAAAGUCUCUGUGCACUGAUUUCCCCCCAGCUUGUUCCACUUUUAAAAAUAGCUAAUGAGGAAAUUAAUUUUGUCACCCAGAUGUAUUUGGUAAAAACAUGUCAGGGAAAGACAAUUAACCUCUACACUGAUAAAUCCUUCCCAAAUUAAUGAAGUUAAUAUUUGAAGAUGUUGAGACAUUCAUCUGGGGAGAGAGGCCACAAAAGCGAGGCCCCUCCAGGCAGAGAAGGAGAGACACAAAAAAGAGGAGAGACAGACAGAGAGGAAAGGAUAUACUAGGAGGAAGAAUCAGGGGAGAGCAGGGUAGGGAGGUGGGAAGGAAUGGCAGAGCAAGACAGACAGACAGAUGGACAGAAUGAGAGAGAGAGGCGAGAACAUGUGUUUAGAGGGAACACGGCUAUAAUGUCUUUCGAGAAUUUUCCAUUUUUCCAGGUAUUCCAUUGCAAUAGAUUUUGGGGCAGAAGACCCGACAAACAAAAGCACAGGAUGAAAAGAGUGGAGUACUUGUCAGGGUGGGCUUUUCUAGCCCACAUUGAUGCAGUCUUCUCUUGGCUCCAAGAUUUUGGAUUCUUCUUCUCAUUAGAGGCAGCCAGGGAGCGCCGGGCUGUGGGAAGUGGCCGGCCAGCAGGAGAUGGCACGGUGGUGACUGCCGUUUUCUCUUCCUGUGUUUUCCUGGAGGGUCACAGAAUCCUGGCUGGAGGAACCCUCAAUUAAUACCCACCCCCCGACAAUUCAACGCCUCUUCUAUCUCUUACCCUUUUACCCCCGGGAACCAGGGAAAAGAUGAGACCCCCUUGGAAGAGGUCAGCCUCUGCCUGAGUUGGGUCUUGUCACCCCAGGCUGGGAUUGGAGUGGAAGGACAGGUGGCCUUAUGUCAGAGAGAGGGACAGGUGGGGGGUGUGGGCAGGCUGGCACCCACAUGGGCAGGGGCCAGCACAGCCAGACCUUUGAGUUCCUGAUCCUCCGCAGCCUGAACCCCCACUGGGGACCCUCAGCUCAUGAAGCGAAUCCCAACCUGGCGCACCUGGAACUCAGAUUGAAAUGGAAACUUCGUUGGGGACGUUCGGCCUUGGAGCCAUCGGGGAGAAUGGCUGAGGCUUCUCUCAGGCUUCAGUCCAGACUCUGCUCCUGAGGUGCUGACAGGCAGGAGGCCCCUGGGGAACCCAGACGUCACAUUUUUCCCAGAGGCCCAGGCUUGGCCUUCAGACCCCAGCCAAAGACGCCGCUUUGCUCUCGUCUGUUAAAAGACCCUUUCUUUAUUAAUUUCUUCCAACUGUGUGAAAUGCAAACAGGACAUGAAGCAUCCAUCAUUCCAAUCCUGUCAAGUUACUAGUUCUGGGAAGCAGAGGUCAGGACCGGGGCUGGGGGCUCGUGUUGCCGUGGGGAGCCUUUCCAUCCGGAGGCAAAGAAGUGGGAGAGACGCAUGGGACUGUGCGCCUGCCCAGAAAACCCAGGGGCAGCGACAAUGACCAGCCCACGGCAGGGCCCAGGAGGCUGAGCUGGAGUCGGGCCUGGGCCGCCUUGUUGGAAAGCCGAAGGGGCCGGAGGAAGAGUUCAUGGUGUGGAGACGGGAGGGCGCCGGCAACAGAAGAGGCUGGCCUGCUUGUUUCUACACUUGCAGAAAAGCCAGCCAAGUUGCUCUCACCGUCACGGCGGGCACAGACAGAAGAGGGCGAGACAUCAGAACUCAGGAAACAGGCCCCGACUGCAGCUUGAAGGGCUGGAUUAGAGGGGUGACCGUGGUCAGGGGUCAACUGCGUUUCCAAGCCGGUCUGGACUGGACGUCUCCUCCUCAGGGAGGUCAAGAGACAAGUGACAUGCCAAAGUUCACAGGGUCAGCGGCACACUGAGACGCACCCCAGGGGCAGGACGGCGCCCGGCUCUGCUCUGCCCGGGGCCUGGAUCUCGGCCAGGUUCUUCAUCUCCAGACCCCAGUUUCCUCACCUGAGACACAGGCACCGUCAGAGCUCCGGGGCGGCUGCAUUGGUCUGCUCAGGCUGCCGUAACAGAACAUCCCCGACUGGGCUGACACCGCACAGACGCACGGUCUCCCCGCUUGGGAGGCUGCGGUCCCAGAUCAAGAUGUGCUUGCCGUAAAUAUUCACUCCAAAUUAUCCGAAGAACAGUCACCGUUUGUCCCAGCGUUGACCUGCGUGUCGUCUCCCAGGGCUGGUGGUGGCUGCUCCCUCCGUGGGUAGGGCUUCAGCACCGCGGAGGACUGGCCCCCGCGGUCCCUUCCCGCCGGCUCAUUACCGUCUGCUCAGGGUGACCUUGUGGCUGACUCCGAGGGAGGGGAAAGAACGAGCGGGGACGGCCUGGGCACUGCCUGGCACUGAACUUGAUCGUGGUACCGCAGGCCCCAGGACAGGUAUGGGGAAAUGGAAGCCCACCCUCCUGCCCGCCCCGGGGCGGCUGCCCCUGCCUGAGCCACUCGGCACGUGGCCGUCCCGCGGACGUCACCUUGGAGCCGACGAGCUGAUGCGUCUAAUUAAGUCCUGCUCUCCAGCUGACAAGUACCAGCCCCGCUGCAGAGAAGAUCGGGGCCCCCCAAGGGCUUCCCUCUGGCAGGGCUAAAUACUAAUGACCUCUCUUUACUCCGUGAUUAUUCAGGGUCAAUGACGGCACCGCAUCCCAAAGCGAGCAGUCAGUGCCAGGAGACACGAAACAGUGUGUAAACUGUAGUGUGCUGCCCGCCGGCCCCAAACUGUGGGAGGGAUUGUCGUCGCCGGGGGAAGGGGCCCCUUUGUUACCAGGUGCGCCUCCAAGCUGCGCCUGCGGGCUGCUGACCCACGGGGAGUUUCCGGCUGGAAGGGAAGGGACGCAGUCUGCCCGGCCAGGAAGCUCAGGAGAGAAGCUCCCUUUGAAGCUGAGUCACAGGUGGUUCAGACACGACACACCUGAGCAGAGGUCGGCGCCCUUCAGGUGGUCACGGCUGAACAGACAUCCACAGGGAACCCAGGAUGCGCCGGGCGUCCGGCUGGCCCUGGAGGGGAGCAGGGGUGAGAGACACAGCCUGCUGUGUGUGCGGGUCUAGACUGGACCCGGGGGUUCAUGUCAGAAAACUGCCCUUAUAAGUGUGUGUGUGUGUGUGCAUUUUGCACACUGGGGGCAGUCCCUACACUGACAGAGAGUGAGGGGAUUAGCACACGGCAACGAUGAAAGAUCUGGUUUUAAAUGACCCCCCUUCUUGGCACACGGGGUCCACGCGGCAACAGCUCAUCGACUGAGACGCCCGCUGGACGCCCUUGGCUCUGGUUUCCUUCAAGAGGCGACUGAGGUGAAGGUGCCAGCGUGAGGCCUGGGGCAUCCAGUGUGGCAGGCGGAGAGUACAUCCCAGCGUCCUGAUUAGUCCUCAGUAAUGGAGGAGCAGGUCUGUAAUUACGACAUGAGGUCAUCUUAAUUAGAAUGACAUAAAGUAAUGUCUAAUUAGGCAUUAUCCCGUUUUUAAAGACUUGUCAGAUUCAAAGGCAAAAUCUUCCAGCAUCUCGGUGGUGAACUUUGAAGUUCUCCAUUGGUGUUCUUUGUCUCUCUGCCCCCUUGGCGAGGGGCAGGGCCGACCAGCUGCUGGCCUCCAGUGAGUGCUCGGGCCCGUGUGCUGGCCCUCCUUGGCACCACCUGCACGCAGAAGGAGAGGCAGGGGUGGGGGUGGUCCAGGUAGGGGUCAGGAGGGGCUUGUGGGGAGGGCCGGGCUCCUUCCUUUGCUCUCAGGCGCCCUCCUUUUCCCAGGAGGAAGUGUUACACGGGAUGAAAGAACAACAUUGGGAACCAGAAUAGCCUUGCAGGACCCGGUCCGCCCGUGAACUUCCCUGUCUCUCUGACCCUAUCUUUCUUCAUCUGUGAAACAGAGCUGGUCUGUGAGUGGAGGUCGAAGAGGGUGGUUGGAACAGAGCAACGGUUCUUAAACAAAGUUUCCAGAAAACUCUGUUCCUUAAGCUGGACUAAAGGAUUUUGCUACUAAAA